GGAAUAUUGGACAAUGGGGGCAACCCUGAUCCAGCAAUGCCGCGUGUGUGAAGAAGGCCUGAGGGUUGUAAAGCACUUUCAGUGGGGAGGAGGAUUGAUAGGUUAAGAGCUAAUUGAUUGGACGUUACCCACAGAAGAAGCACCGGCUAACUCCGUGCCAGCAGCCGCGGUAAUACGGAGGGUGCGAGCGUUAAUCGGAAUUACUGGGCGUAAAGGGUGCGUAGGUGGUUAUAUAAGUUAUCUGUGAAAUCCCUGGGCUCAACCUGGGCAGGUCAGAUAAUACUGUAUGACUCGAGUAUAGGAGAGGGUAGUGGAAUUUCCGGUGUAGCGGUGAAAUGCGUAGAGAUCGGAAGGAACACCAGUGGCGAAGGCGGCUACCUGGCCUAAUACUGACACUGAGGCACGAAAGCGUGGGGAGCAAAC
Molecule: ribosomal RNA, 423 nt
Filed under: uncultured bacterium
Lineage: Bacteria
Description: bacterial SSU rRNA
Rfam family: Bacterial small subunit ribosomal RNA
Source: RNAcentral